UUUAAUUGAAGAGUUUGAUCAUGGCUCAGAUUGAACGCUGGCGGCAGGCCUAACACAUGCAAGUCGAGCGGUAACAUUUCAAAAGCUUGCU
Molecule: ribosomal RNA, 91 nt
Filed under: Shewanella sp. cp20
Lineage: Bacteria; Pseudomonadati; Pseudomonadota; Gammaproteobacteria; Alteromonadales; Shewanellaceae
Description: partial 16S ribosomal RNA
Rfam family: Bacterial small subunit ribosomal RNA
Source: RNAcentral